UGGCUCCAUCCCUGUGUCUGACUUGCCUUU
RNAcentral lists this non-coding RNA (30 nucleotides) under Homo sapiens (human). Lineage: Eukaryota; Metazoa; Chordata; Mammalia; Primates; Hominidae. The record is from RNAcentral.